AACUCUUCUUAUUCUCAAACUCUUUUUCACGCAAAACCGUCUCUCACUGCAAACUCAAUCUUCACUAUAAACCCUUCUCUCACUGCAAAUUCUUCUUCACAGUAAAUCUCUUCGCCAAACACUUCUCACGAACCCAGAAAUCUCUUCGUCGAGUCCUUCACAUAAAACCCAGAAUUCGUACUGUUGUCACGAACCCUUCCUUGCAAAUUUGAAACGCUAAAUUUCUGGAAGGUGCUACUCAUUCAUAUCCACUUGCAAUAUAUCAUGCUCCUCAACUUGUUGGAAUUACAACCUCGAAUCUCGAAGUCAGUGAUAAGUUGAAAAUUCAUUACCUUGGUAUUUCCUGUUGCUCAAAAGGAAUUUUGUGGAUUCAAUCAUUUUACAACAUUUGUGUGCUAUAGAAUUAUUUUAUAAUCUGAGGUUCUACACAAAAUUAUAAGCUAUGAGGUUUGGUACAUCUCUCACUCUUCAUUCUCAAACAUAGGAAAUUCACACAAAGGUUCAAGUUAUUGACAUCUAUCUAGUCUCUUUUUAAUCCACACAAAGGCUUUACAAAAUGCUGCUUAUAAAGCUGAUUGGUAUGUUCUCUAUAUAGUGUGCAAUAUGUCACAAUCUACGAAAGUUGUUCAUGAGUGUUGGAAGAAAUUCACAUGUUUAUAUAACUGGUUAUUGAAAGAGUCUGCAACUCUGCAUCAAUAUACUUUGUUGGAACUGAAGUUUUACAUUGAGAAAAGUAUUUACCGACUAGACGUUCACAUUUGAUCAUAUUCAAUUUUAGAGCCAAAAGCAACAAAUAGUUAUGAGUGCGGCUAUUAUGUCAUGAUACACAUGUUGAACAUUGUAUCUACUGGUGUUGUUGGUUCAUGGACCCAAGUACGGUUACAAUUUUAAUGAUAUGCAAUUGUCCCAACACAUUAUAUGAAGUUUUUUCAAGACUUAGAAUAAUUCAUUAUUGUGUUGGUUCUCUCUGUGUUAGAAUUGUAAUUAGUUUGUAGUUAGUUACUUAUUUCUUCAUGAGUGAUAUUACCCCUUAAAUUAGUUUGUAAAUUUGUUCUUAUGUAAUUUAAAUUGGGGAAAAUAAAUUACUCUCAUUUGG
This is a long non-coding RNA of Trifolium pratense (red clover), 1096 nucleotides long. RefSeq lists it as uncharacterized. NCBI's taxonomy places the organism in Eukaryota, Viridiplantae, Streptophyta, Magnoliopsida, Fabales, Fabaceae. The transcript is spliced from 7 exons. The record is from RefSeq and is a predicted model, not a curated record.